Molecule: non-coding RNA, 96 nt
Organism: Mycena leptocephala
Lineage: Eukaryota; Fungi; Basidiomycota; Agaricomycetes; Agaricales; Mycenaceae
Source: the annotation of a GenBank genome assembly
UCGGACAUGGGGUAUGGUACACGGCCUCCCAACAUAUCGUUGGCACACACUUAAGAUUGUUGGAGGCAGACCGGGGUUCGACUCCCCGUGUCCGAA